Molecule: long non-coding RNA, 684 nt
Filed under: Ursus maritimus (polar bear)
Lineage: Eukaryota; Metazoa; Chordata; Mammalia; Carnivora; Ursidae
Description: lncRNA (ENSUMAG00000025523.1)
Source: RNAcentral
CACAGAUGCUGACCUGGCCCAGACUCUGCCGCACAAGGGACUCCCGAGUCUCCUGUCUCUGCGCAGGCCCCUCUCAGUCACAGGUCACCACACACCACAGUGCUGGAGGGAUGAGCUUGCCCUCGUGCGGUCCAGGGUGGUUUCCCAGAUAUGCCAACAGCAGCCUUUCCCUGAGUCCCUGAGGAUGUGCACACCCGUGGCUGAGGGGCCGCCAGAGAAGGUGCCUUUGGGAAGAGAUAGCCGUCAGGUAGUGACCUCCCUGUGGCUUGGCCUGCACCCGUGUGCGCUUGUUGCAAGGAGGGCUGUGGGAGCUGCCAGUGUUCACUGUCUCACGGGUGGAGGGGCGGGCUGAAGACAAGAAGUCUUUUUUUCUUAAUUCUCCGGGAUGGAAAUUGGGGGUGGAAAAAUCACAUACAAAUUAAUGUAGCCAAUGAACAAGUCUAUAUGGACCAGUUUCCAACAUUUUCUAUGUCUGUCGUCCUGCAGCAGGUAAGUAGAGGCUAAAGCAGCAGCAACAGCAACAACACAUAGCACAGACCCUACUGAGACAUCCGUCCUGUCUUCAAGAGCUCGACAUUUUUAGGUUGUCCUCCAAGGUCCUGCCAUGGUUGGAGAGACGCACUGUAUCAACUCCACGGCUGACCCAGACAACCGGAACCCUGAGGCUCCGGGGGAGGCUGGAAA